UAGAACCAGAUAGUGAGAGUGAAACUCGGUUCCAGGACAGUAAAAGCAACGAGAGGCAAGGCUGUAAGGGGCUAUGACAGAGUGACAGUAGGCUGUAAGCGGGAGUGCUCAUGAGCUUGGGUUGGCAUGGAUACCAUCUUAGUCUUCAGCCUAAUGAUUGCAUCCUAUGAUUCCAACAAGAACGACCUCAGAAAGAGCAGCUGCCAAGUGGAACAGCUGCCCAGCUUCUUCCCAGAGGAUGUGAGGAGCAACAAGGAUUUGGUAGUAAGAGUUCCUCUAGAAAUUCACACAGAUACCAAAGGGACCCCAUUCAUCCAAAAUCAGCCCAUAGCUACCCUGCGGUGUCUUGGCUCUGGAAGGAGAGUGACAGUCCAGCUUGUAUAUUCAGAGAGAAGGCCAAAGGUCAAGUACAUUAUGAAGAACCUGCCAGUCAUUACUGAUCUUCCUAGAAACAGCACUGCUUCCCCAAGAUGUCACCUCAGAGCCACAUCUCAGUUUCAGAAUGGAUCCCUUCUAACAGCUUUUUUACCAGGAAUCUCACAAUGCACGGUCUACUCAGCUAAGGACAGAUCUGCUUCAUCAGAGAUGGUGCCCAUCACUACCUCCUCCACAACUCCUAGAAGUAAAGAAGAUGAAGCCACAAGCACUGGGGCUUUUCCCAACCCUUUAACACAAGAAAUAGACAUGUCCUUAAAGAGGAGGCAGAAAUGGAGUCUUGUAGUCAAAGCUCUGAUUGCUGUUACUCUCCUGCUUGGUGGGGCGGCUAUUAUAGUGUUUGUCAUCUUUGAAGUCCCGUGCCCGAGUCAAUGCCUACGAGUCAGACAGCUGUGCCAAUGUCAAUGGUUAUGGAGAAGGAAAAGGAAGGAAGAAGACCAGAAACCUGGGACAACUGAAUCCCAGUUGGACUCUCAGCCUGAGAAGGUGAAACACAAUGUUCCUAACUCUUCAGACUCAAAGAAGACGAUAGACAUCGCUAUAAUCUACCAGACACACUUCUGAGCUGUGCUUCACCUGACUCUGAACACAAGCACUGUCUUCUAGACCACCAUCUCCUCAUUAAUGUUCCGUAACCGGGAAACGUGAGAUUUCCUAGAAGAUGAGAGCCAUGCUGGGUGCUCGUCAGUUCUGCUCUUCUGUGAGAGUGAGACCUGGGUGACACCUGUACUGACUUGCUUCGUGGAAAUUGACACGGUCCAAACUGUGCAUUCUGUUUGUGGGCAGUUGUCUUGGCAACAGCAAGACUCUUCCAAGCAUUUUCCCACUCCCUAAUCUGCUAGCCACUUUGAAUCCCUCCCCUAGCAGAGGGAGGAUUUGGAAACUAGGAGCUGAGGAGAGCAGAGGAGAAGAGGGCACUCCUGUGUGGACUUUGCAAUGUGGACUUCAGUCUGCAGAUUGCCCAGAGUCACACACAAAUGCUCCGGUCAUCAUUGUAGACACACUCUUAUAAAACACUCAAUGCAACUGCCAGCAAGUCCUCUGCAAAGUGCCAAAUUCCUGUUGCAAAUGGUUUCUCAUUAAAGUAUCUCAUCAAA
RNA transcript from Mus caroli (Ryukyu mouse), 1532 nucleotides. It is a transcript of the gene named chromosome unknown C17orf78 homolog, with no coding region annotated. NCBI's taxonomy places the organism in Eukaryota, Metazoa, Chordata, Mammalia, Rodentia, Muridae. The record is from RefSeq and is a predicted model, not a curated record.